RNAcentral lists this ribosomal RNA (465 nucleotides) under Vreelandella stevensii. Its description in RNAcentral is "partial 16S ribosomal RNA". It matches the Rfam family "Bacterial small subunit ribosomal RNA", at positions 338 to 795 of the family's 1533-position model. Lineage: Bacteria; Pseudomonadati; Pseudomonadota; Gammaproteobacteria; Oceanospirillales; Halomonadaceae. The record is from RNAcentral.
CCUACGGGUGGCUGCAGUGGGGAAUAUUGGACAAUGGGGGGAACACUGAUCCAGCCAUGCCGCGUGUGUGAAGAAGGCCCUCGGGUUGUAAAGCACUUUCAGUGAGGAAGAACGCCUGGUGGUUAAUACCCAUCAGGAAAGACAUCACUCACAGAAGAAGCACCGGCUAACUCCGUGCCAGCAGCCGCGGUAAUACGGAGGGUGCGAGCGUUAAUCGGAAUUACUGGGCGUAAAGCGCGCGUAGGUGGCUUGAUAAGCCGGUUGUGAAAGCCCCGGGCUCAACCUGGGAACGGCAUCCGGAACUGUCAAGCUAGAGUGCAGGAGAGGAAGGUAGAAUUCCCGGUGUAGCGGUGAAAUGCGUAGAGAUCGGGAGGAAUACCAGUGGCGAAGGCGGCCUUCUGGACUGACACUGACACUGAGGUGCGAAAGCGUGGGUAGCAAACAGGAUUAGAUACCCCUGUAGUC